Molecule: long non-coding RNA, 571 nt
Organism: Platichthys flesus (European flounder)
Lineage: Eukaryota; Metazoa; Chordata; Actinopteri; Pleuronectiformes; Pleuronectidae
Exons: 3
Source: RefSeq, a predicted model, not a curated record
AUUUUCACCUGGAUGAGCAGAAGGAAGAAAAGUGAGCAGACUGAAGAUGAGUGGUUAUGAGGAGGAAGAGGAGGACAGAGCAGAGUCGCCAGGGUUCAGCUGUGUGUCUCUGAAGAGUGACCGGUCCAUGGAACUUCCUCUAACCUUCAGUAAAGAACCUGGACCCUCACACACAAAAGGUCAGGACCACAGACUGAGAGCAGAGUCUCCAGGGUCCAGCUGUCUGUCUCUGAAGAGUGACUGGUCCAUGGAACCUCCUAUAUUCUUCAGUAAUGAACCUGGGCCCUCACACACAGAGUAAGAGACUGUUUCUACUGUGACCUGCUCUGAAGAGGAUCUAGUUUCCUCUAGUGUGGCCCCUGCAUUAGGACACAGCUUCAAUGAAGUUGGUGACUAAUCUCUCAGAAUCACUCAAAGAGCUCAGACCUCCACCAAGAACCAACACGCUCCUUAUGAAACCAACCAACAGACAAACAUACUGGAUGAAAACAAAACCUCCUUGACAGAAGUAAUGACAACCUGUGACUGUGACAUGUGAGUGAUCAGGAAAUGUCUUCACAGAGAGAGGAAG